RNAcentral lists this ribosomal RNA (497 nucleotides) under uncultured bacterium. Its description in RNAcentral is "partial 16S ribosomal RNA". It matches the Rfam family "Bacterial small subunit ribosomal RNA", at positions 28 to 507 of the family's 1533-position model. The record is from RNAcentral.
GAUGAACGCUGGCGGCGUGCCUAAUACAUGCAAGUCGAGCGAACAGACGAGGAGCUUGCUCCUCUGACGUUAGCGGCGGACGGGUGAGUAACACGUGGAUAACCUACCUAUAAGACUGGGAUAACUUCGGGAAACCGGAGCUAAUACCGGAAAAUAUAUUGACCCGCAUGGUUCAAUAGUGAAAGACGGUUUUGCUGUCACUAAUAGAUGGAUCCGCGCCGCAUUAGCUAGUUGGUAAGGUAACGGCUUACCAAGGCAACGAUGCGUAGCCGACCUGAGAGGGUGAUCGGCCACACUGGAACUGAGACACGGUCCAGACUCCUACGGGAGGCAGCAGUAGGGAAUCUUCCGCAAUGGGCGAAAGCCUGACGGAGCAACGCCGCGUGAGUGAUGAAGGUCUUCGGAUCGUAAAACUCUGUUAUUAGGGAAGAACAAAUGUGUAAGUAACUAUGCACGUCUUGACGGUACCGAAUCAGAAAGCCACGGCUAACUACGUG